This 384-nucleotide ribosomal RNA is filed under the name uncultured eukaryote. RNAcentral's name for it is "SSU rRNA". It matches the Rfam family "Eukaryotic small subunit ribosomal RNA", at positions 587 to 972 of the family's 1831-position model. The record is from RNAcentral.
AGCUCCAAUAGCGUAUAUUAAAUUUGUUGCAGUUAAAAAGCUCGUAGUUGAACUUGUGGUUUGUUUGGCUUGGUCCGACGCUCAUGCGUUGGUACCUGAGCCAUGCUCCCAUCCUUGGGUGGAACCUGUGUGGCAUUAGGUUGUCGUGCAGGGGAUGCCCAUCGUUUACUGUGAAAAAAUUAGAGUGUUCAAAGCAGGCUUAUGCCGUUGAAUAUAUUAGCAUGGAAUAAUAAGAUAGGACUUUAGUACUAUUUUGUUGGUUUGUGCACUAAAGUAAUGAUUAAUAGGGACAGUUGGGGGUAUUCGUAUUCCAUUGUCAGAGGUGAAAUUCUUGGAUUUUUGGACGACGAACUACUGCGAAAGCAUUUACCAAGGAUGUUUUCA